GGUAUCAUUAUGUGCAUAAUUGUAAGUAUGCCUGUUAAAUUCUGUAAAUUCCUGUGUGUAAUUGGUAACCUUUUUUUAUUCAAGCCAUAAUAAGUAUUUUGCGGCCUUGUGUUAAGAUCCCACAUUGGUUUGGGAUAGGGAUAGGGAUAAUGUGCUCCUUAUAUGGCCUUAGGCACUCCUCCUCCCUUGAGCUAGCUUUGGAGAGUGAGUUAAGCCCGGUCCAUUUUCUUAAGACUCUAAAUGUAUCUGAACUAAUCAAAGUUUUUUAAAAUCCUGAAUAUAUGAAUGGAAGUGAUAGCAUGGAAAUAUUAGUGAUGGACGGAUUUGUAAAUUUUCCUUGAAUAUCUUACUUGCACACUGAUCCAAUAUAAUUCAUGAAAUGCUAAAGCAAGCUUUUGGCACUUGUUGGAAUUGAUGAGAUUCCUUAUUCCAACUUGAGGGAAAGUGUAUAGAAUGGGAAGUAAUAAAUAUGUGUAUAUUCUUAUAUUGAUUAACAUAAUUUUAGGGAUUUAAUUAUUUUUCUUUUUAGGGAUUUGAGUUGUAUAUAUGUGUGUUAUAAAUGAAUAAAAUUAAGGAUUUCUAGCACAAAAUUAACAUGGUAUCAGGGCUCUCAAUUAAUUAGGGCUUUGGUACUAUUCACAAGUACUGUUCAGCGAGUACUAUUCAUGGGGUAUUGUUCACUGGUUGCACAGUUCUUUGUUUUUAGCCACUCCAGGUGCUUCACUUUUGGUUGGCAUUAGGUGUUACAGCUUCUAUAUUUUAGUGAUAUAUUUGCCACUGUUCUUGAAAUCACUCUCUUGCCAAUUGUGAGCUAUUUUUGGGUUUUGGGUAUUUAUUUUAAGAAACUUUUGGUGGGACUUUGAGAAUUGGUACACUGUUCAGCUUGGGAUUCAAUUUUUGCUGUCGUACUUGCUUCGGUUGCUGUUUUAUUUUGGUACUUCAGUGCUGGUGUGUUACUGUAAAUUGUUGGCCUAUUUGAUACUCCCAUGAAGUUGAUUAUGUUUGAACAGCCAUCAUGUCACAGCCCUGUGAGCUGUUGGAUAAAGUUUCACCUACUAUUUUGUCUUUUUCCUCGCCGGCAUUGCCUUUGGGGAGGGAAAUGCAACCCAGUGAGUUGCUUUGUGUUGAUGUUUCCUCACCGG
This 1142-nucleotide unclassified non-coding RNA is filed under the name Hevea brasiliensis (rubber tree). Lineage: Eukaryota; Viridiplantae; Streptophyta; Magnoliopsida; Malpighiales; Euphorbiaceae. The record is from RNAcentral.